RNAcentral lists this transfer RNA (93 nucleotides) under Cyrtodactylus jambangan. RNAcentral describes it as "tRNA-Cys". Lineage: Eukaryota; Metazoa; Chordata; Lepidosauria; Squamata; Gekkonidae. The record is from RNAcentral.
GCCCGUGCGGUAGAGAACGCCAAAAUGCAAAUUUGGAGACGCACCCCAACAGGUGCCGGGGCUUCUCCCGUCUCUCCGUUAAACGGGAGAAGC